This 462-nucleotide ribosomal RNA is filed under the name uncultured bacterium. RNAcentral describes it as "partial 16S ribosomal RNA". It matches the Rfam family "Bacterial small subunit ribosomal RNA", at positions 28 to 523 of the family's 1533-position model. The record is from RNAcentral.
GGCGAACGCUGGCGGCAGGCCCAAUACAUGCAAGUCGAACGGCUCUUCGGAGCAGUGGCGGACGGGUGAGUAACACGUGGGAACGUGCCCUUUGGUACGGAACAACUGAGGGAAACUUCAGCUAAUACCGUAUGUGCCCCCAUUCUUAGCGGGAUGGGUGGGAAAGAUUUAUCGCCAUUGGAGCGGCCCGCGUUGGAUUAGCUAGUUGGUGGGGUAAAGGCCCACCAAGGCUACGAUCCAUAGCUGGUCUGAGAGGAUGAUCAGCCACACUGGGACUGAGACACGGCCCAGACUCCUACGGGAGGCAGCAGUAGGGAAUCUUGCGCAAUGGGCGAAAGCCUGACGCAGCCAUGCCGCGUGAAUGAUGAAGGUCUUAGGAUUGUAAAAUUCUUUCACCGGGGAAGAUAAUGACGGUACCCGGAGAAGAAGCCCCGGCUAACUCCGUGCCAGCCGCCGCAGUAA